AAUCAACGCUGGCGGCGUGCCUAACACAUGCAAGUCGAACGCGAAAGUCCCGCAAGGGAUUAGUAGAGUGGCAAACGGGUGAGUAACACGUGGGUGACCUGCCUUCGAGCGGGGGAUAACGUCCCGAAAGGGACGCUAAUACCGCAUAACAUGCCGCCUUUUAACAGGUGGACAUCAAAGCUGGGGAUCGCAAGACCUAGCACUUGAAGAGGGGCCCGCGCCUGAUUAGCUAGUUGGUGGGGUAAUGGCUCACCAAGGCAACGAUCAGUAUCCGGCCUGAGAGGGCGGACGGACACACUGGGACUGAGACACGGCCCAGACUCCUACGGGAGGCAGCAGUGGGGAAUUGUUCGCAAUGGGCGCAAGCCUGACGACGCAACGCCGCGUGGAGGAUGAAGACCUUCGGGUCGUAAACUCCUUUCGAUCGAGACGAAUGGCCUCCGGGUGAACAAUCCGGAGGAGUGACGGUACCGAGAGAAGAAGCCCCGG
RNAcentral lists this ribosomal RNA (489 nucleotides) under uncultured bacterium. RNAcentral's name for it is "bacterial SSU rRNA". It matches the Rfam family "Bacterial small subunit ribosomal RNA", at positions 32 to 496 of the family's 1533-position model. The record is from RNAcentral.